AAAGCUUUUGUGAUCUGCAGUU
Molecule: microRNA, 22 nt
Filed under: Eisenia fetida (common brandling worm)
Lineage: Eukaryota; Metazoa; Annelida; Clitellata; Crassiclitellata; Lumbricidae
Description: Efe-Mir-153-P8_5p* (star (passenger))
Source: RNAcentral